Molecule: long non-coding RNA, 1515 nt
Organism: Amphiprion ocellaris (clown anemonefish)
Lineage: Eukaryota; Metazoa; Chordata; Actinopteri; Pomacentridae
Exons: 3
Source: RefSeq, a predicted model, not a curated record
GACUCUGCUCUCCUCGUUUGGAUUAAUUCUGAUAUAAUAACUGUUGGUUUAUUUAUCGGUGGAGCAGCACAACAUUUUCCACAGACAGUUUUCCUGCCCGUUGGCUUGUUUUAACCAGUUUUCUGCCUUCGGCUGAUUCUACCAGCAGACACUGAAAGGACUCUGAUAGUUCGAGUGAAAGCAGCAGUUCCUCCUGAAGGUCAGAGAUUGCAGCAUCUGAGGGCCUCUUCAAAAGAAGACGUAGUUGAUGAAGGCGUUCUGGAGCAGGACCAGAAAGACCACGACCAAGCAGCCUUGAGAUCUUAGGCAGCGUCUCCCUCAGGUCCCUCUCUAUCUCCCCACACAUCCACCAACCACUGGAACACAUCUCCAAAGUUCUGCUGGGCCAGCUCAGCUUCCCUUCAGAAGAAGUUCCACCAGAUGAAGGAGCCUUUUGAGAGGCAGCUGGCAUCGUGAUUGGACUGUACUUUGGUCUGUUCCAAUCCAGCUUCAGCUCCAGAGACGGCAGGCGGGACGAGUCAACAGAGGCCUGGUGGACGAAGGCAUGCAGCUGAGUACAAUCCAGAAAACAACAGAGGAGGAGUGCAGCGGCCCAGAGCCAGAACAAACAGAGUAGCAUUGUAUGUCUCUUAGAAAACAUCAUAGUAUAGCCUUUGGUAUGAAAAAACACCAUCAUAUACAUCGUAUAUUGUACAAAUAACAAGUCAAAGCAAAGAGGCAUACAUUGUAGAAUUGUAGUAAUUGUGGGCUGACUGGCCUUGGCAAUGGUCGUCGGAAUGUGAAUAACACUUGUUAGGGAAUUCUGCGAUGUCAAAAGAGGAAUCAGGAGGCAAACUCAGGGACACUCUAGAGACUCAGAUGGCUUAUGUUGAGAAUAAGGUUUACUGAAUUCAGGAGAAAUGAUACAGCGAGUAACACAGUGACGUGAGCACUGGCAGCAUCAGUUCUGAGGAGUCUCUCUGGUCUUGGGCAUAUAUACCGUUUGGAAGGCGUGCCAUGUUUAUGUUAUACUCUAAAUGUGGAGGCAGGACUGUUAGUUCAGGAUCCAUCUGAACAGGAACACAGCAAUAUAAUCUUGUUCUGACGUCGUCAGCCAGAUAGUUGUCUUUUAUCCCUAUGUUAUGUUUACCAAGCGUCUGUCUGUCUCAGGGUCAUAUUAGGGGACAGAGAGAGCAUACGCAAGCUUGCAUCCUCUAUCUAGGAGAACCAUGAGUCAAGGGUGACCAUUUGGGAUGACUCAGCAUUUAGGCUGUUAUACACUAGAACCACCUCAGUCGUGAGAAAGUGAGUAAUUUUUCCUUCACAACACUGACCACACCUCACAGAGGUUAUAAGCUGAGGCAACAUCAACCACCACCAGAACUGAAGAAGCCUCUUGGAUGAGAGGUGAAACGUCUUCAAGGAACCUUCUUAAAGUCCAGUUGGAUUGAUUUAAACAACUUUGGAUGACUGAUUUACUGAUUAUCAGUAUUUUAUUUUUUACUGAUUUACGGUAAUAAAUACAUUUAAAAAUGG